Molecule: ribosomal RNA, 468 nt
Filed under: uncultured bacterium
Lineage: Bacteria
Description: partial 16S ribosomal RNA
Rfam family: Bacterial small subunit ribosomal RNA
Source: RNAcentral
GACGAACGCUGGCGGCGUGCUUAACACAUGCAAGUCGAACGGAAAGGCCCUGCUUUUGUGGGGUGCUCGAGUGGCGAACGGGUGAGUAACACGUGAGUAACCUGCCCUUGACUUUGGGAUAACUUCAGGAAACUGGGGCUAAUACCGGAUAGGAGCUCCUGCUGCAUGGUGGGGGUUGGAAAGUUUCGGCGGUUGGGGAUGGACUCGCGGCUUAUCAGCUUGUUGGUGGGGUAGUGGCUUACCGAGGCUUUGACGGGUAGCCGGCCUGAGAGGGUGACCGGCCACAUUGGGACUGAGAUACGGCCCAGACUCGUACGGGAGGCAGCAGUGGGGAAUAUUGCACAAUGGGCGGAAGCAUGAUGCAGCAACGCCGCGUGCGGGAUGACGGUCUUCGGGGGGGAAACCGCUUUCGCCUGUGACGAAGCGUGAGUGACGGUAAUGGGUAAAGAAGCACCGGCUAACUACGUG